RNAcentral lists this transfer RNA (72 nucleotides) under Plutella xylostella (diamondback moth). RNAcentral describes it as "tRNA-Glu". Lineage: Eukaryota; Metazoa; Arthropoda; Insecta; Lepidoptera; Plutellidae. The record is from RNAcentral.
GCGGUGGUAGCUCGGUUGGGUAAGCACCCGCUUCUCACGCCAGAGAUGCGGGUUCGAAUCCCGGCGGUGACA